This 415-nucleotide ribosomal RNA is filed under the name uncultured bacterium. Its description in RNAcentral is "bacterial SSU rRNA". It matches the Rfam family "Bacterial small subunit ribosomal RNA", at positions 355 to 786 of the family's 1533-position model. The record is from RNAcentral.
UCGGGAAUAUUGCGCAAUGGAGGAAACUCUGACGCAGUGACGCCGCGUGCAGGAAGAGGGUUUUCGGAUUGUAAACUGCUUUAGACAGGGAAGAAAAAAGACAGUACCUGUAGAAUAAGCUCCGGCUAACUACGUGCCAGCAGCCGCGGUAAUACGUAGGGAGCAAGCGUUAUCCGGAUUUAUUGGGUGUAAAGGGUGCGUAGACGGGAAGACAAGUUAGUUGUGAAAUCCCUCGGCUUAACUGAGGAACUGCAACUAAAACUAUCAUUCUUGAGUGCUGGAGAGGAAAGUGGAAUUCCUAGUGUAGCGGUGAAAUGCGUAGAUAUUAGGAGGAACACCAGUGGCGAAGGCGACUUUCUGGACAGUAACUGACGUUGAGGCACGAAAGUGUGGGGAGCAAACAGGAUUAGAUACC